RNAcentral lists this ribosomal RNA (248 nucleotides) under uncultured Harryflintia sp. RNAcentral describes it as "partial 16S ribosomal RNA". It matches the Rfam family "Bacterial small subunit ribosomal RNA", at positions 524 to 772 of the family's 1533-position model. The record is from RNAcentral. Lineage: Bacteria; Bacillati; Bacillota; Clostridia; Eubacteriales; Oscillospiraceae.
UACGUAGGUGGCGAGCGUUGUCCGGAAUUACUGGGUGUAAAGGGAGCGUAGGCGGGAUAUUAAGUUGAAUGUAUAAACUAUCGGCUCAACUGGUAGAAGCGUUCAAAACUGAUAUUCUUGAGUGAAGUAGAGGCAGGCGGAAUUCCUAGUGUAGCGGUGAAAUGCGUAGAUAUUAGGAGGAACACCAGUGGCGAAGGCGGCCUGCUGGGCUUUAACUGACGCUGAGGCUCGAAAGCGUGGGUAGCAAA